RNAcentral lists this long non-coding RNA (463 nucleotides) under Homo sapiens (human). RNAcentral's name for it is "novel transcript". Lineage: Eukaryota; Metazoa; Chordata; Mammalia; Primates; Hominidae. The record is from RNAcentral.
GUGCACAAGUUUGCCUCCAAACAACUGGGUGAUGCCUCCAAACAGACCUGGAAUCAUCCAUUUCUCCAAGGAUCUCUGCUUCUUCUUGUAAAAUAGGCUAUUUAAGGACUACAAUCUGAGCAUUAAGGGUCUUGGAGGAAGGCAUCCUUCUAUUCUACUGAUCAGAAAGCUGGACAAAGUCCCACUGCCAGGCUACACAGUUGGUGCCAUUUGCGGAGGUGACCUUUGACCUUUAACCCACGCGGCCACCCGCCCGAGCUCUUACCCCUGCUGCCCCUCGCGCGUCCCACUCCCCGUCCCUGCCGGAUCCGCUUCCCUGCGCUGGGCCCAGCGCGCCGCCAGGGAAGGGGCCGGAGCCUGGGAGCCCGCCCCGCCGUCGCCCGUCCUCCGCCCGCAGGCCCACCCGCAGCGGUCACGUGAAGGACCGAGCGCCGCGCGCCCAGGCGGGGCCUCCGGCCUGCAC